This 253-nucleotide ribosomal RNA is filed under the name uncultured bacterium. Its description in RNAcentral is "partial 16S ribosomal RNA". It matches the Rfam family "Bacterial small subunit ribosomal RNA", at positions 524 to 776 of the family's 1533-position model. The record is from RNAcentral.
UACGUAGGGUGCGAGCGUUGUCCGGAAUUAUUGGGCGUAAAGGGCUCGUAGGCGGUUUGUCGCGUCGGGAGUGAAAACUCAGGGCUUAACCCUGAGCCUGCUUCCGAUACGGGCAGACUAGAGGUAUGCAGGGGAGAACGGAAUUCCUGGUGUAGCGGUGAAAUGCGCAGAUAUCAGGAGGAACACCGGUGGCGAAGGCGGUUCUCUGGGCAUUACCUGACGCUGAGGCACGAAGGCCAGGGGAGCAAACGGG